AACGAACGCUGGCGGCAUGCCUAACACAUGCAAGUCGAACGAGAUCUUCGGGUCUAGUGGCGCACGGGUGCGUAACGCGUGGGAAUCUGCCCUUUGGUUCGGAAUAACAGUUGGAAACGACUGCUAAUACCGGAUGAUGACGAAAGUCCAAAGAUUUAUCGCCAGAGGAUGAGCCCGCGUAGGAUUAGCUAGUUGGUGUGGUAAAGGCGCACCAAGGCGACGAUCCUUAGCUGGUCUGAGAGGAUGAUCAGCCACACUGGGACUGAGACACGGCCCAGACUCCUACGGGAGGCAGCAGUGGGGAAUAUUGGACAAUGGGCGAAAGCCUGAUCCAGCCAUGCCGCGUGGGUGAAGAAGGCCUUAGGGUUGUAAACCCCUUUCAGCGGGGAAGAUAAUGACGGUACCCGCAGAAGAAGCCCCGGCUAACUCCGUGCCAGCCGCCGCCGUAA
Molecule: ribosomal RNA, 449 nt
Filed under: uncultured bacterium
Lineage: Bacteria
Description: partial 16S ribosomal RNA
Rfam family: Bacterial small subunit ribosomal RNA
Source: RNAcentral